Molecule: long non-coding RNA, 1124 nt
Organism: Canis lupus familiaris (dog)
Lineage: Eukaryota; Metazoa; Chordata; Mammalia; Carnivora; Canidae
Exons: 2
Source: RefSeq, a predicted model, not a curated record
CGCCCACCUGCACCUCCCAGUAGUGCUCGCCGUCGGACAGCACCUGCUGCGCCACCACCGCCACGGCCUUGUCGAACUGGCACGGAUCCUCCCCGGCCGGCGGCGCCUUCUGGUCCGAGCACUCCACGCGGCGACCGGAGGGAGACAGCACCAGGCUCGGGUGCGCAGAGCUCGGGUCAAAGGUCAGCUCCUUUGUAACUGCCAGGAGGGGAAGUGGUCAGGCCCUGCGUGGCUACACCCGUGCAAGCUUCUCCCAACCGAGGGGCCUGCGGGUCUGCUCUAACCACCCCCCCACACACAGCCCUAGGAGGUGAAUCCCUCUCUGCUUACUGGCUUGGCCCAAAGCCUGUACCUCUCCGAGCUUCAGCCGACUCAGCGGGAAAACGAGGCCAUAACUGCCUCCUUCCAAAUGGGGCAGGAACUGACCAAGGAUCACACAAGGCUCAACCCCAGACCCCAGCCUCCCCUGCUUGCCAGCAGCAGCAGCAGCUUUCCUUUCAGGAAGCAGAGUCAUCACCACAUCAGUCACCCACCUGUAAGCCCCAUGCCCUCCAAGGUCCUUCUCUGAGCCCAGAUGACAAGGGUAAAGGGGCAAUGGGCACCUUCUCUGAUAACUUCUGGGACUGAGAGGCUCCAUUACGUCGCUGGGACCUGCCUUCAACCACACAGUUACAAACGUGAACCCAGAGGUGGCCUCUCCCAGUACCUGGCAUCAGAGCCCGGAACAUCUUCCUCCACACCUGGAAUUUGAAGUCAUCUGAGAUGACAGGCAGCUGGAUGUCCAAACGGGCAGGCGGUGGUGAUUCUGCCAGGAUCUUCUGUAGCCUGGGGGCAGGGAGUGGGAAGUGGGAGCUGUCUGUGGAUGGACUUCCUGGAGGAGGCAUAGGGUAGGGGCAGGGCAGGAGGUUACCCCAAAGAGAGGAGGACAGGGGUCAUGGUAGGGUUCCAGGCUCUCUCCUGCAUCACAACCUGGCUUACAACUCUGUUGGAGUUUCAGUUCAGAAAGAUGAAAAUGUUCUGGAGGGAGAUGGCAAUGAUGGUGGCAAACCAGCAUGAAUGUACUUAAUACCAUCGAAUUUAAAAUGUACACUUAAAAAAUGGUUAAAAAGGCAAAUUUUACAUCA